Molecule: ribosomal RNA, 724 nt
Filed under: Alectoris rufa (red-legged partridge)
Lineage: Eukaryota; Metazoa; Chordata; Aves; Galliformes; Phasianidae
Description: partial 12S ribosomal RNA
Rfam family: Bacterial small subunit ribosomal RNA
Source: RNAcentral
GGUAAAUCUCGUGCCAGCCACCGCGGUCAUACAAGAAACCCAAAUUAAUAGACAUCCGGCGUAAAGAGUGGCCACAUGUUAUCCACACUAACUAAGAUCAAAGCAAAGCUAAGCUGUCAUAAGCCCAAGACUCACCUAAGCCCAACCUAAAAACCAUCUUAGUUCCCACGACUAAUUUAAACCCACGAAAGCCAGGACACAAACUGGGAUUAGAUACCCCACUAUGCCUGGCCUUAAAUCUUGAUACCCCCCCCCAUUUACCAAUAUAUCCGCCCGAGAACUACGAGCACAAACGCUUAAAACUCUAAGGACUUGGCGGUGCCCCAAACCCACCUAGAGGAGCCUGUUCUAUAAUCGAUAAUCCACGAUUCACCCAACCAUCCUUUGCCAACACAGCCUACAUACCGCCGUCGCCAGCUCACCUCCAAUGAAAGAGCAACAGUGAGCCCAACAGUCCCCACUAAUAAGACAGGUCAAGGUAUAGCCUAUGGGAUGGAAGAAAUGGGCUACAUUUUCUAAUAUAGAAUAAACGGAAAAGGACAUGAAAACCGGUCCUAAGAAGGAGGAUUUAGCAGUAAGAUGAGAUCAUCCCCAGCUCACCUUAAGACGGCCCUGGGGCACGUACAUACCGCCCGUCACCCUCUUCAAUAAGCCACUAACACCAAUAAAUAAUACCCGCCCCGGCUAAAGACGAGGUAAGUCGUAACAAGGUAAGCAUACUGGA